RNAcentral lists this long non-coding RNA (2371 nucleotides) under Nicotiana tabacum (common tobacco). RNAcentral's name for it is "long non-coding RNA (NTAB_LNC009477)". Lineage: Eukaryota; Viridiplantae; Streptophyta; Magnoliopsida; Solanales; Solanaceae. The record is from RNAcentral.
CCCACUUUAUAGAUCACGUGCACUCUUUUGUUUUAACUACAGCUAUCUUGCUAUUGGGUUCAGUAUCUGGGAAUAAAUGGCCCACUAGUCCAUAAUCAAUCACAGUUUUCACAAAUCCAGCGACAAUAGAAAAGCAAUCAAACAAUGAUAGCAACAUUAGAGUUCAAAGUCCAAUUUCAUACAUUCUUAGAAAUCAGUAAAUACUGCUGCCUUUAAAAAAAAUGAACAUAUAACAAAGGGUUGUGGAAAGUGCAAACUCAACCACAACAAAAAUGAUAUUUGCAAAAUUAUAGACUGAUGGUAGCAAAAGACAGAAUAUCAGUUAAUACAUCUCAUUGGCUAUCCCUAUCACAUACAAACUUAAUAGUUAAAGAAAAAUAUGAAAAUGCCUCUAUUUGAUUUACAGAUUCCUCCUCAAUGCUCAUAGGAAGGCAAGAUUAUCAACUGAUGCAUUUCAAUACUGCCUGAAGCCUCUCAAUCGUCAAAUUUAGCCAACUGGUGGUCGAACUUUGAAGACUGAUGAUUUCAAAGAGCCUCAUAGAUACUUUGCAGGCCAUAAUCAAGUAAUAACUUAACAGAAACAAUACUGAGGGAAUCUUAAACUAGGUGACAACAUUUCAGUUCUGAGUUAUACUUAAAGCAGAGCCAAUUAACAGUCAAGUAAACACAGGAUCAGCAAUUUGAGUUUUCUCAAAGGAAAAGAUGAUUCCAAUCUAGAUUUUAACUUAAACACACAACUUUUCAACAAGGAUAAGUGGAUCUAAUAACUAAAACACAAUGAACACACAUGCUUAGGUAUAGCCAUGAAGUCAACAGUUCAUUCAUCAAUUCCAUAUUCAACAAGUUGUUACAGGGAAAUAGUCCUACAUACCUAGUAGAGGAACCAAUGGACUUGACAAAGCAAAAGUGAAAAUUGAAGACCCAACUAGCAAUGAACAGCAGCAGAAGACCAAAACAAAAUAGCUUCAAACUCAAAUCAAAAGUCCCAGCAGCAUGGAGUGGAACAGUAUAAAAUGGAAGGGAAAAUCAGCCUGGAAAUCUUUUUUUUUUCUUUCAAUUUCUAGCUUUGAAGGAAAACAGAAAGGCAAUCAAGAGAAUGAGUCUAUGUAUUUCUGAGGGUUUUCUUGUGUACAAUCCGUGCGAGAACGAGAGGAGGAAUCCCUUUUUUAAUAGAAUGUGAGCAUGUCCUCAUGAUAGGGAAUGAGAGAGAUUUAAAGGAAUCUGCCAGCCCUUAAAUUUUAGGGAAAAAGACAUCUUUCUAAACAAAAAAUGGACAGCUAUCCAAUUUUUGGAUAUUUCCUCUCACUCCCAUCUCUUUUCUUAAUAGAUUGGGACAGUUGUCCUUGUUUCUAGAAGCUUCUUUUAUUUCCAGAACCUUUUUAACUUUCUAUUCUUACCCCAGCCUUUAAACAUUUUCCCCAUUUUAAUGUAUUUCCAACCAAACAAAACAGAUUUCUUCGUUUUCCUAUUUCUUUUAGACACCUGAAUUUAAGUAAUUACAAACAACUAUCACAAAAACUCAGAUAAAUUAAAAAUUACAGCACAACAAGUAAUAUUCAACUUUUAACCUAUUUUACGUAAUUAACUAAUUCAACAUGUAAUUAACUGAUUAUGCACCUAAUUAAAGCAUGCGAGCAAAAAUUAGUUUGACCAGAUUUAGGUAUCGAUCCGGUCAAAACAAAAAACCAAGCGAAAAUGAUAAAAAAAAAAAGAUAUUAAUCCUAAAUCAUGCAAUUAACUAUUAAUUGAAUCAUGCACACAUAGAAUCAAAUGACAUUAAAUCCUAAUAUGCUAACAAGUAAGAAGAACAAAUUAAAACUCAUGAAGCAAUAGAAAAGAAAACGGAAAAUUACCUAAACAAAGCAAGGAAAAUUUUCUGACAAAAUGUUUGGCCAACCAUGGUGUUUGAACAUCUCCGAAAUGAUACGAAAAUUGCACUAAUCGACUGUUCUUGCCAAAAAUAAUCGAUUAGCAUAAGUUUCGAGUCAAAACGGGUCUUUGAAACUCGAAAAAUCAGAAGGGGAGGAAGCUAGGGUUUCUGGCCCUUUUAGAUCUAAAAUUCGAGGAUUUUGGGUGGUUCUUUUGAAAAGUUGAAGGUAUAUUUGGAUUGAGGAUGAACAGAGGAGUAUAGGGUGUUAAUUUGGGGAAGUUUGGGGACUGUUCGCCGUCGUGGGGAAAUUUCCGGCGGCAGAGACGACCAUGGGUGAGAGAGAUGAGAGGGAAGGGUCUGUGAAGAGUUUUGAGGGUUAGGGGAGGGUAUUCCGAAAAUUAGAAGGGAGAAGGGAAUUCAGUUCCCAGCCGUUAGAUCAUAAUUGAUCAACAGCUGGGAUCAUUUGGUAGUGAAAAUGGGGUCGGUUGGGUGUGGAGGAAC